UACGUAGGGUGCGAGCGUUAAUCGGAAUUACUGGGCGUAAAGCGUGCGCAGGCGGUUUCUCAAGUCAGUGGUGAAAGCCCGGAGCUCAACUCCGGAACUGCCAUUGAAACUGUGAAACUUGAGGACGAGAGAGGUGAGUGGAAUUCCCAGUGUAGAGGUGAAAUUCGUAGAUAUUGGGAAGAACACCAGUGGCGAAGGCGGCUCACUGGCCCGGUACGUGACGCUGAGGUGCGAAAGCGGUGGGGAGCAAACAGGG
Molecule: ribosomal RNA, 256 nt
Filed under: uncultured bacterium
Lineage: Bacteria
Description: partial 16S ribosomal RNA
Rfam family: Bacterial small subunit ribosomal RNA
Source: RNAcentral